Molecule: ribosomal RNA, 539 nt
Filed under: Staphylococcus aureus
Lineage: Bacteria; Bacillati; Bacillota; Bacilli; Caryophanales; Staphylococcaceae
Description: bacterial SSU rRNA
Rfam family: Bacterial small subunit ribosomal RNA
Source: RNAcentral
GACGGUCUUGCUGUCACUUAUAGAUGGAUCCGCGCUGCAUUAGCUAGUUGGUAAGGUAACGGCUUACCAAGGCAACGAUGCAUAGCCGACCUGAGAGGGUGAUCGGCCACACUGGAACUGAGACACGGUCCAGACUCCUACGGGAGGCAGCAGUAGGGAAUCUUCCGCAAUGGGCGAAAGCCUGACGGAGCAACGCCGCGUGAGUGAUGAAGGUCUUCGGAUCGUAAAACUCUGUUAUUAGGGAAGAACAUAUGUGUAAGUAACUGUGCACAUCUUGACGGUACCUAAUCAGAAAGCCACGGCUAACUACGUGCCAGCAGCCGCGGUAAUACGUAGGUGGCAAGCGUUAUCCGGAAUUAUUGGGCGUAAAGCGCGCGUAGGCGGUUUUUUAAGUCUGAUGUGAAAGCCCACGGCUCAACCGUGGAGGGUCAUUGGAAACUGGAAAACUUGAGUGCAGAAGAGGAAAGUGGAAUUCCAUGUGUAGCGGUGAAAUGCGCAGAGAUAUGGAGGAACACCAGUGGCGAAGGCGACUUUCUGGU